GUAUCUUCUGGAAUUUUAAUAAAGUUUAUUAUAACAUUUAGCUUCUACACGAACUGCUGGUAUCUUUAGUGGCGGCAAAUAUUUCAUGACAGCUGAAUUUGUCUCGCAGCAUGCUGUCGGUGUGCGGCAACUGAGAGGUUACAGGGUGCAGUUAUUCUUGUUAUCAAGGCUGUCAGGAGCAGCACAUCAGCCAGGGGGAGGGGACCCAGACUUUUUUUUUUUUAUCAAGCCACAACACCACCACCACCUGCCAGGGAGGCUGGGUGUUCACUUGGGCCAGCACAUGACGUGGUCUUGCUAGCUUAUUGAGACGUUUCUGCUUUGAAGGAAUAAGGAGAGUGCCAGUAGCAAAGUUGUUAAGGGAAUAGUUCAUCUUUUUAGACUCUCUAAACCCAGAUUAGUUGGUCGCAGACACUGAAGAGUAGUAUUAUAGGUAAUUAAAAAGAAAGAAAAUCAAUUUUAUUUUAAAAUGUACCCUUCUUUACAUUUUUACCUCAUGGAAACACUUUUUUGUGUUCUGUUCUGAGUAUUCAAGAAGGGGGAAAUAAUGUCUUUAGAAAUAAUGGCCCAUAAUGGUAAAGAUAGUUGUAAAAUAGCCUUUGGGUAAACCGCAAUGACGUUUUAACAUCUUUGAUAGGAUUGGGAAAUAAAUCAUAAACAAUGUAAUAAACAUGAUUGAAAAUGUCCGAUAAAACUAGGCUAGUUGGAUCAACCGUUUGCUUUGGUUACCUAGCAACAGCCUUGCACCGCAGCAGCUCUAUGUUUUGCCACCUGCCUCGCCUGCUUAAAAAAAAAGAAACGGUGUGGAGUGAACGGACUAUGUCAUUGAUUUGGCAGUUUUGUAGAUAUAUUGCAGAUACAUUUCAAACAAAAAAUAAUAAUUAUCUAUUGACUGAUAUUAAGCAUAUUGUGACACGUUGUUCAGCCAGGCCAUAGCCUUAGGUGUCCUUUUCUCGAGCUAGCCGUUAGCGUCUUCACCCCAGGAGCAGCUCGUUUGGAAAUAUGGAAAGCUAUUUAUUGCAGAUAAGAACUGAACUCUACUUCAAAAACUACACGCUAUCCAUUUAAAGCCAUGUUACCCGGAGCUUCAAGUAAAAGUCUUUUCUUUCAUUUCCCCCCACAUUGCCAAACAAGCUAAGCUGGCUCAGUUUUUCCCAGCAGCGCUUUUACAUGUUUGUGCUGACAUCAGCUGCUUCACAAAACGUGUCACUUCAGAGUCCUCCUCUAAGCCCGCAGAACACAACAGAGACAAGGUGGGGAUACAUGCAAAGGAACAUGUCUGAACAUGCAUCCCAGAAAUGAUUUAAUCAGACUACAGUAUGAGGCUUUCCAAGGAAAUAUUGAAUGGCUUUAGUAGUUUAAGGUGUGGGAAGGCUGAAAACGAGAAAAUCCCAAUUACAUCACAACUAGUCGGAGCAGUCGGAUGGCUGUACUGUCUGGGAGGAUCGCUGCACUUCCCACGUUCCUCAAACCAGGAAGCAAUAAUUGCCUUUGGAUUGUAUUUCAUCAUGCAAAAAAGGGGGAUGAAUAUGAAUGUAAAUGAGUGAUAUUUGACUACGCUGGCUUUGGGAUCAGAUGACAUCACUGCAUGCAAGAGCUGAGCAAGAUUUAAGUAAACAAAAGAGGACUUAGUGGGAUUUCUAAACAUUUCUCUUUGAGGAUGUCCAGCUAAUGAAGGCGGCUGUGCUACCGCAUCUUGCGAGAGUAUUCAUACCCUGCCAAUUUUUUCAUAUUUUGUCCAAAUAUUUAAUUGACAGAGCAACAAAAAGUGUGUGGUGGAAGGAAAAUUGUGUGUUUUCUGAAUGAAAAUCUCAAAUGUGUGGUGUCCAUUUGUAUUCACUUAUGUCAUGGGAAAAAUAAUCUUCCAGUGAAACAAGUGGUUUUUCAACAAUAUGAAGGAAUUAUUGACUUCAAAUAAGCUCUUAUGCCACGCUGUGAAGUUAUUUUGCUUGAACAGUGGAUGGAGAGGAAAUAGGUUGGAGAGAGAAGAGGAAGAUAGGAAGCAAAUGGUCUCAGAACGGGAAUCGAACCCAGGACCUCCGCUUUGAGUACUGCGGCUUCUUCCUUUAGAUUUUUUUAUCGUUCAAAAUUCUUGAGUCCAAAAAAAAUGAAAUACACGGAAGGUUGCGGCAAAGCGUAAAAAAAAAAAAAAAAAGAGAGAAAUGGAUCAGUGGGUUUGAAUAUUUCCGCAAGACCCUCAUGAUGAGGGUCAUGCAAGGUAACAUGUAAAAGUGACGCUGCGCCUCAAAUAUUCAAAGCGUUUUGAUGUCGACAUGAUUCGGUGCGUUUGUGUUUGGAAGAAGACAUGUUCUCUACUAAUGUAAGGGGGAAAAAAAUACAACACAACAAUGGUUUUGAUGGAAACCAGGCCGUGUGUUAGGAGGACAUGCUGCAGGAUGCCAACACCAAAAGACAAGCUGCAUUUUAAAUAUAGCUGAAUCAUGUCACAGAUUUUCCAAACACUGGUGCUCAGCAGAAUGGAUGUCUCCGCUGCUGCUGCUGCUUGCUGGUGUUUACUGGACGUCAGUGAAGCGAGGCGGCUCUGGUCCUCCUCUCGUCCUCCUCGAGUUGUCACUGUUUAUCUCUCGCUAUCUCGCCGCGCGCUCUCCCUCUGCUCUCCCUCUCUCUCUUGUCUUUCACCCACAUUAGUUUACUUUUUCCCACUUCUCAUUUGUGGCUUUUUCUUUUUUUCUAACUGCACAUCUGCACCCCUGCCUCACCCUCUAGUUCCUCCUUUCUCGCUGUUUUUCUGUUUUCUUCUUUUCCCUUCUGGUGAAUCACAGGGCAGAAACAGAACUGGGUGUCAACUUGACGAACGAGGUCACACGCAGGCCCAGCAGACCGUGUUAAAUGCUGGGUCAUCAUAAAGCCCCCCCCACCACAUCUUCACUCUAACAUGCACAUACAAAGUAGGCACGGCCGAGUCUCACUCCCUGCACACAUCUCGCUCUGUCGUGUAACUCUGACGUCCGGUGGUUCCUCAGAAACAUCAUCGCUCCUUAUCAGCAGCUUAAGUUUAAUCACAGCAACCUGCUGGAGAUAACCUCUUGUUUCCAUGAUGUCAAACGCUUGCAUCCAAAAAAGAAAAAGAAGACACUGUUCUUUCCACAUGCAUUCUGAUGUUUGUGAGGUGAGAAACAAACUGGAGAAGUUCUGUGUCUUGAUUUGACGUAAACCAGGGCGGCAACUAACGAUUAAUUGGAUGAAAAAAUCGACACAUUCUGUGGUUUUCUUUGUAUUUCACCACAUUAACUUAUUCUCUUCUGAUAUUAGAAAUAAUAAAAAAAAUAAAAAAAAACUUUUCAAAUGCACUUUUUUACAAAUAUAAUUUUAUUUUUAAAAUAGAGUAAUAAAUGUUUAAAAAUAAAUGCUAAC
This is a long non-coding RNA of Gambusia affinis (western mosquitofish), 3375 nucleotides long. RefSeq lists it as uncharacterized. The transcript is spliced from 3 exons. NCBI's taxonomy places the organism in Eukaryota, Metazoa, Chordata, Actinopteri, Cyprinodontiformes, Poeciliidae. The record is from RefSeq and is a predicted model, not a curated record.